GACGAACGCUGGCGGCGUGCUUAACACAUGCAAGUUGGACGGUGCGACAUGGAAGCUUGCUGAAGUGUCGUACAGUAGCGAACGGGUGAGUAAUGCAUGAGAAUCUGCCCUUUGGAGGGGGACAACAGCUGGAAACGGCUGCUAAUACCCCGUAAGCCGGGAGGUGAAAGGUACGCGAGUACUGCCGGGGGAUGAGCUCAUGUCCUAUCAGCUGGUUGGCGGGGUAACGGCCCACCAAGGCGACGACGGGUAGCCGGCCUGAGAGGGUGACCGGCCACACUGGUACUGAGACACGGCCCAGACUCCUACGGGAGGCAGCAGUUGGGAAUCUUCGGCAAUGGGCGCAAGCCUGACCGAGCAACGCCGCGUGAGUGAUGAAGGUUUUCGGAUUGUAAAGCUCUGUCUUCCGGGACGAUAAUGACGGUACCGGAGGAGGAAGCCACGGCUAACUACGUG
This 456-nucleotide ribosomal RNA is filed under the name uncultured bacterium. RNAcentral's name for it is "bacterial SSU rRNA". It matches the Rfam family "Bacterial small subunit ribosomal RNA", at positions 28 to 507 of the family's 1533-position model. The record is from RNAcentral.